Molecule: ribosomal RNA, 236 nt
Filed under: uncultured bacterium
Lineage: Bacteria
Description: partial 16S ribosomal RNA
Rfam family: Bacterial small subunit ribosomal RNA
Source: RNAcentral
UACAGAGGGUGCGAGCGUUAAUCGGAGUUACUGGGCGUAAAGGGCGCGUAGGUGGCGGAGCAAGUCAACGGUGAAAGCUCGACGCUCAACGUCGAGUCGGCCGUCGAGACUGCUUUGCUCGAGCACUGUAGAGGCAGAUGGAAUUCCUGGUGUAGCAGUGAAAUGCGUAGAUAUCAGGAGGAACACCGAUGGCGAAGGCAGGUCUCUGGGCUGACACUGACGCUCAUGCACGAAAG